UUCACAGUGAAGCAACAUUUUGCGCAUAGCUUGUUCAGGGAUCAGAAAUGCGUUACAUUACGAAGUCUAGUCUAACAACCGAGUAUCAGCAGAAAGGCAGAUAAACAGAACACACAGAAAUAUUUUAACUCAUAUCCCAGAUAUUGACGACCAGGCAGCGAGAAGCGCGGGCCACGUAGUCUUCUGAGAGACACACUACUGACAGGGAGUGAACGCGCUCACUGUUCUCGAACUUUGGAGGUGUUGUUUUCGUCUUACCGCACGAGCUGCUGGGAUUGGUCUUAGGGGAAUCGUGCUAGCGUUGCAGUCGAUCAAAUGAAAUGUAAAGUAAUGCUUAUUUGAACGGUAGACGAAUCCGACGAAUAGAGCUAGGAUGAUGCUGUGAAGGCAUCUUCGACUUCGGUAACAUUUAGUGCAACAAAUGAUGAAGCUUAGGCUUUUAUUAAGGAAGUGUAAGCUCCACGAUUUCAGCAAUCACGCGUAACUAAUCAGUAAUAGAAGUCUGAGACAUCUGGUGAGGGGAAAUAGACAUCGCUGUUCUUUUUUGGACGAUUGGACUGUGACUAAGUGAUGCUAAUGUUAUGAAACUGGACAUCAGUUACCCACGCUUAGCAGUUUGGUACAGUAGUAUACUUGAGAUGCUUUAAAUAAAAAGGUUUGUAUAACUGAUUGAACAAAGUUCGAUUAAUAAUUAAAAAAAACAAAAACAAUUUUCAAGUAAAAAGAGAUAUCGCAAAAAUAAACAACAAACCCAGUUUCCAUCUUUAAAACCUUUAUCGUUAAAAGCGUUUAGACAUUAGCGAUGUGGACGAUUGUUUAAGUACAAAAAAAUACAGAACCAAUCCUGUCGUAGAAACGAUGAUUUUAAUGACUGAGUCCACGUGAAAUGGUAAUAUCGUUCCAAAGUUUCUUUUUGUCAAGAUGGGCAGUGGUCAGUCCACGAGUAAAAAGAAGCAUAAAGAACAGGAUCGAAGAUCGGAAAAUAGGGAAGUGGAUUUUGAAGAUUUUCUAAUCCUCAGAGCCAUUGGAAAAGGAAGUUUUGGGAAGGUAAG
Molecule: long non-coding RNA, 1052 nt
Organism: Limulus polyphemus (Atlantic horseshoe crab)
Lineage: Eukaryota; Metazoa; Arthropoda; Merostomata; Xiphosura; Limulidae
Exons: 3
Source: RefSeq, a predicted model, not a curated record